CGAGAUAAUGGCUGAAUUAUAGGCAAUAAAUUGUAAAUUUAUUUAUGAGGGUACUCUUAUUUC
RNAcentral lists this transfer RNA (63 nucleotides) under Anthribidae sp. 9 ACP-2013. RNAcentral's name for it is "tRNA-Tyr". The record is from RNAcentral. Lineage: Eukaryota; Metazoa; Arthropoda; Insecta; Coleoptera; Anthribidae.